RNAcentral lists this ribosomal RNA (721 nucleotides) under uncultured bacterium. RNAcentral describes it as "bacterial SSU rRNA". It matches the Rfam family "Bacterial small subunit ribosomal RNA", at positions 63 to 783 of the family's 1533-position model. The record is from RNAcentral.
CGAGCGAGGCCAGGUAGCAAUACCUGAGUCGAGCGGCAGACGGGUGAGUAACACGUGGGUGACCUACCUCGAGGUGGGGGAUAACCCGGGGAAACUCGGGCUAAUACCGCAUAACAUCGUGAGAUCAAAGCGGCCCGCAAGGGUCGCGCCGUGAGAGGGGCCCGCGUCUGAUUAGCUAGUUGGUGAGGUAACGGCUCACCAAGGCGACGAUCAGUAGCCGGCCUGAGAGGGCGAUCGGCCACACUGGAACUGAGACACGGUCCAGACUCCUACGGGAGGCAGCAGUGGGGAAUUUUGCGCAAUGGGGGAAACCCUGACGCACCAACGCCGCGUGGAGGAUGAAGGUCCUUGGAUUGUAAACUCCUGUCACCAAGGAAGAACUCCUUACGGUGAAUAACCGUAAGGAUUGACGGUACCUGCAGAGGAAGCCCCGGCUAACUCUGUGCCAGCAGCCGCGGUAAUACACAGGGGGCAAGCGUUAUUCGGAAUUAUUGGGCGUAAAGGGCGCGUACGCGGCUUCCCAAGUGGUGGGUGAAAUCCCUCGGCUUAACCGAUGAACUGCCCUCCAAACUGCUUUGCUGGAGUCCAGUAGAGGUGAGUGCACUUCUCCGUUGAGCGGUGACGUGCUCACAUGUUGGCAAGAGAACCUCUGCCUAAUGAGGCUCUACGUAACCAACUAGAUAAUGAGACGCGAGCCCCUGUCAAGGAGAGAGCAUUGCAU